Molecule: long non-coding RNA, 240 nt
Filed under: Nicotiana benthamiana
Lineage: Eukaryota; Viridiplantae; Streptophyta; Magnoliopsida; Solanales; Solanaceae
Description: long non-coding RNA (NBEN_LNC011872)
Source: RNAcentral
UAGUGUACUCAUCUGGACCUAGUCCACACAUAAUCCAUUUCUUAGCCUUAGCAUUUUUCUUCCACUUCUUCAGGUCUUCAACAGUACAGUCAGCCCUUGUCUUCAGCAUAUCCACUCUUUCUUCAUUCUUCUUUAUAGUUGCUAGAGAACCAUCAGUGACUAUGUCCUAGAUUUCAUAAUCUUCUCCUGUAAUGUGAUCCCUCGUCAUGUUCUUUUACCAAGAAUAGUAUUGUCCAUUGA